Molecule: long non-coding RNA, 4000 nt
Organism: Ictalurus punctatus (channel catfish)
Lineage: Eukaryota; Metazoa; Chordata; Actinopteri; Siluriformes; Ictaluridae
Exons: 3
Source: RefSeq, a predicted model, not a curated record
AAGAACUACAUUUCCCAUCUGCCCUGGCUGUCACAGGCUAAUAGCACCAGCUGCUUUCCAUUGCCUUAAGGAAUGAUUCUACUGCGGCAACGAGACCAAAUACAACGAAAGUAUUGAUGCUGCAAAAGAAGACGGAUCUUUUGGUAGGCUGGUUAAUGAUGACCACAAGCACCCAAAUGGCAGAAUACAGAAGACUGAAGUGGAUGGAAGCCCACAUCUUGGUCUGUUUGCUUUAACAGACUUUAAAGAAGGUGAUGAAUUACCUACAAUUACGGAGGAGGAGACUGGCCUUGGUGUAGCAAGGUAAAACAUCUACUCUGAAAAAGAGGAAGGCUCGGGAAGGAAAUGAGGUCCAUGCAGUGGAGAGACAUAUGAAGACCUUCAUCAUGUCAUGUCGUGUCCCAGGGAAGUUGGUCUGUGAAAACUGCAUUAGAUCUGAGUCUUUAUAUCUUAAAGAUAGAGACUGGCAAAGUGUCAAAUUCUAUGUCAACAACUGCACUGUAGCUUACAAGAGAGAUUUAAACAAAGAUUAAAUAACACUUUGAUAGUAACACUUUACAUCUAUAUUACAGAUACUGUACAUCAUAACAUCUGUAGUAAUGCUUUAACAAUAAGUUACAUUACACCUCUAGCCUUUUACUUUGUAAUGAACCGCUCAGCAUUUACUUCAUCAUAAACUAAUCAGGAACAAAUCAGGCAUUUAAAAUAUCCAUUAGGAUCUUUACCUACACCGUUAUAUUGAAUUAGAUCAAAUUGGUUUGGGCCGCCUUCUUCCAGUGGGUCCUUAUGCAGGUGACUGACAAGUUCAUGAGUAAGCCUAUUGGGCAAUAAAAGCUUCAGUGUGCUACCCAUUUACAUGUUUAGACUGCCUGGAAUCAAAAUUAGCUACCUCAACAUAUAUUAUUAAGUUGUUACUGUCACUUUUUAGCUUAGUCAGUUAAGUGGAUAUAGAAUAAAGAAAAAAAUUGUGUUUAUGACAUUUGGUUGUGUGUCUGUGUUUGGCUAGUAUCUUUAUUUUUCUCAAUAUGUUUAACUUUGAGCUGGCUAUAUGUAGUAAGCAGAAGUGUUAUGUCAAACUUAAAUGAGUCCAAGUUCAUUCAUGGCACAUGUGAGCUUAGUAGUUGUGCACUUUAAUGGGCAAAUAUUUGUUGUCUUUUACAGUAAAGAAGCUCAAGACUCAAGUUGUCUUUAUAAUGUUGAAUAGACAGGGUUUUUUCAUCUUACUGACAAUUUUUCACUUGAUUAGAGAUCCAGACCAAUAAACAAAUACUUUGUGUAGCUAAAAUAUCAAAAGGAUGAGUGUCUUUGUCAUUUUGACUUGCCAAAAUGACUGGGGAUAGUGUUAAUUUGUGAUGCAUGCCUGUGAUAAAUAAGUGAGGUUCAGUACAGCUAGCACCUCUACUUUCUAUUCCACAAAAAAAAUUGUAUACUUUGGAGCAGGAAAUGAAAAGCUUCUUAGAAUUAUAGCCUCAAAACUAAUAAUAGCACUGGUAACACCUUCCUUAACAAGUUCCUAGGUUUCUCAAAGGGUUCCUCUGUUGGAAAUAGAAAGCUCCAAAAAAAUGUAGUCUGUUAUCUAUUACGUGCAGAUAUUGAAAUUUCUGUAAGAGAGCUUUUUGAUAACCAAACUUUCACUGAUUGCAUAUUUCACAAAUAAGGCUUAAGAGUCCUUAGUAUAAACAAUUAAGAACAACUGUUCAAUAUAAUUUCAUGAGAAGCUUAAACCUUCAAAUAGAGAAAAUACACAUCAUAUCUGCUUUACAGACAGCCCUCUAAAUUAGACAUACUUAGUUUGUAAUUUUGUAUAAAUAAUUAUAGUUAAAUUGACAACAUUGUUUUUUAAAACCAUGUCCCAUUGUUGUUAUAUAAACGACCUGAUCUGUGUGUAUGCAGAUUAACUAUCUAGUGAUGUCCCCUCUACAACAUGAAAACCAGUUAAUUUGCUGUGUAUGAAAAUUAGGUCCCCGUUAAUGAUGAGUUCUUGUUAUGUUGUUUAUGAAAAAACCAAGCACAGAAAUUUGGUGAUUUAAAUCCAGAAUUUGAGAUGAUAUGUGUUCUCAGGCUUAAAUUAUACAUGCCUGAUUUUUUUCACAUCUGUAGGACCUCAGGAAAGUGGUGUCCCCACAAUACAUGGGUGGGACUACUGACCCCAGAAUGUUAUAAUUACAAGAGUGUGUGUGUGUGUGUGUGUGUGUGUGUGUGUGUGUGUGUGUGUGUGUGUGUGUGUGAAAGGUACAGGAGCAGUCUGGCUGUGCAGCUACAGUAAAUGUUAAUAAUAAUAAUAAUAGGACGUUAUUUAAAAGCUCAUACAGCUGAUGUGAUUUUUAUUUAGUAGUUAAUUUAACAUGCUAUGCUAACAUGUAAACAAUAAGAUAAUAUUACCUGACGUACAUUUUACACUCAAUAUUGUCUGUUUCUGUUCUAUUUCACCAACAAAAAUAUUUCCAAACAAAGCCACAGCAGGUCCUGCUCCUUUUUCCUCCUAAUUCCCUCAUUUCUCCACGUUGGGAUUAAUAAAGUAUUAUCUUAUCUCAUCUUUUGUUCAAAUGGGAGAUUUCUUAUUUAUUUUAUUUAUUUUAUUUAUUUUUAAAUAGGAGACCUUUUAAUAAUUUUAUUUAAAAAAUGGCUUCAUGUUUCAAUUAUAAUGAAGCAUUUGUUCAAACAAAAAUGUUUUCAGUCCUUUAAGGAUCAUUGUAACUGAGGAUGUUAUGUUUAAAUAAACAGCAGGAGAUUGAGCACCAGUGACUUGACACCUACAGCUGACAAAGCUGCAAGCAGGGUUCAUACCUGCGCAAGAAAACCCUGUUGGAUUUAGAGUCCGACGCCUCAAAGUGAUUUAAGGAAACACUAGGCUAUUCUACUGGAGCCGACGGACGUGUCUGUCCGUGUUCGACCCUUCUUCAACAACAACUUUGCAGUCUCGUUUAUAUUCUCAGGUUUCCGCACGUGGACGCCCUCUUCAGUCCAUUUACUUCAGUCAAGUAAUUAGAGCCUUUACUAGUUUACAUGAACACAUUCGGACGACUUACUUUACGUCAAAGCAUUUUUCUAGGAUAAAACACAAGCAUGUUUGAUGAAUGCCAAGGUGCUUUCUUGCUCAUCUGAAUAGAGUUCUCUCUGCAUUACGACACAGUUUCAUAACAGGCUUCAAGUUGCGCAGGUGAAACCCCGGUGUAGUUCAGGUCCAGUGCCCUUUUCUCUCUGCAGUCGGGAAGAUAGUGCACACGAGUUAGUUGACACAGACCGCUGACAUGCCUUGAGCAGGCUUCAAGUUGCGUAGGGGAGACCCCAGUGCAUUCCAAGUCCAGUGCCAUGUUCUCUUGGCCAUCAGAGGAAGGGAGCAUGAGACAAGACUUAAGUGCAUUUCCUUGGUUCAUUUAUGUUCUGAUGUUUUAUGUUUUGAUCGUUUCAAUGUGCCAACCUUCUUUACCAGCCGUAACCGCGAUGGAGAAUGAGACAAGGCUUAAGAGUGACUCCAAGGCUCAUUGACGUUUUGAUCGCGCAUGGUCUCAACAUUCCAAAGUGUCAUGGGUCUUUUCAAAUGGCUUCAUGUUUCAAUUAUAAGGAAGCAUUUGUUCAAACAAAAAUGUUUUCAGUCCUUUAAGGAUCAUUGUAACUGAUGAUGUUAUUAUUAUUCAUAAUAAUAAUAAUAAUAAUAAUGCUGAUGUGGUGUCCUGUCCUCUGAUUUCUGUGUGUGAGAGAAACACACUCACAUUUCUGUUACAUGGGAAACUUUAUCUGUAUUAUGGCUGUGUGUGUGUGUGUGUGUGUGUGUGUGUGUGUGUGUGUGUGUGUGUGAGAGUGAUCAGUGUUCUGAUAUUUCUUCAUUUCUCUUCCAGUCUGUGUGUGUGUGAUCUGACAGAGGAAAGCUGUAGAGUUCUGUCCUCAGUUCUCAGAUCAAACUCCUCCAGACUGAGAGAACUGGACCUGAGUCACAAUAACCUGCAGGAUUCAGGAGUGAAGCUGCUCUCUGCUAGACUGGAGAAUCCACACUGUACAC